UACGGAGGGUGCGAGCGUUGUCCGGAAUCAUUGGGCGUAAAGGGCGCGUAGGUGGCCCGGUCAGUCUUUGGUGAAAGCGCGGGGCUCAACCCUGCGUCGGCCAGGGAUACUGCCGCGGCUCGAGCACUGUAGAGGCAGGCGGAAUUCCGGGUGUAGCGGUGGAAUGCGUAGAGAUCCGGAAGAACACCGGUGGCGAAAGCGGCAUCCUGGACCGACAUUGACGCUGAGGCGCGAAAGCCAGGGGAGCAAACGGG
This 254-nucleotide ribosomal RNA is filed under the name uncultured bacterium. Its description in RNAcentral is "partial 16S ribosomal RNA". It matches the Rfam family "Bacterial small subunit ribosomal RNA", at positions 524 to 776 of the family's 1533-position model. The record is from RNAcentral.